Non-coding RNA from Pelobates cultripes (western spadefoot toad), 256 nucleotides. The record is from the annotation of a GenBank genome assembly. NCBI's taxonomy places the organism in Eukaryota, Metazoa, Chordata, Amphibia, Anura, Pelobatidae.
CCAGUUUAGUGCAUAAAACCCAUCGACUAUACUCAAGAUUAGUAUAGUCAAUAUUUGUGAAAUAAAUGCUCCAGGCUCCAUCCCAAACAUCCCAUCAUCCUUGAACUUUUAAAAGCGAAAACUGCGUCCUCCCUAUUCCGGUAGAAAUACUGGUAAAUCUCUGACCAACAAGAGACCUUCCUAUACAGCUCAGGAAUGAUGUUUAAACAUAUGCUACUGGUAUGUGCCAAUAUUUAUGUUAAACCUCACAUUCUUC